Mus musculus (house mouse) is the source of this 2800-nucleotide long non-coding RNA. RefSeq annotates it as predicted gene, 31419. NCBI's taxonomy places the organism in Eukaryota, Metazoa, Chordata, Mammalia, Rodentia, Muridae. The record is from RefSeq and is a predicted model, not a curated record. The transcript is spliced from 6 exons.
UGGUCCCCUUGGAUAUUACAGAAAGAAGGGACAGAAGAAGAGAGCCGAGGGAGGGGAAGGAAGCUUGCAGCACUGCUCGCUAUGCUGGGUUCUGUAAAAUCAGGUGAUUAGACAUGGGAGGAGGAAGGACAGAAGUAUCACCCUUCGGACUCCUCUGGAGAGGCUGAGACAUCACCAUGGUCACAUCCUGGAAUCUGGGAAUGAGGACUGGUUGAGGCUGGAAGCCACUGUCCUCAAGACCAGCUUGAAUCUGGAAUGUGCCCCGAAGACCCAUGAGCUAAAGGCUUGGCUUUCAGAUGCUGUUGGAGUGGUGGAGCCUUUAGAGAUAGGCUCUAGUAGGAAAAAAAUACAUGACUGGGAACAUGCCAUUGAAGGAGAUUGUUUUCCAUGGUGAUGUGCUGGACCAUCAGAAGCCCCAGAGUAAUGGUGCCAAGUGAUAAAGGCUGAAACUCCCCAAACUCCUGCACUCGAGGCCUCUUGACUGUGCCCUAAGUCUGCCUCCUAUAUCCACUUGACAGUUUUGCUUCAGUUCUACCCAAGAGGAAAGUGGAUCAUCUAAGGAGCCAACAAGAAUUACAGAGGAAGGAGGCCUUGGCUACAUUCAAGUGACAUGCUGUUUGGACAAAAACAAACCCAGUGACAACUGUGAUGUGGUUUUCUGUAGAUCUAGUAAGACAGUGCACAAGCAAGCUCUUCCCUGUCUAAGAACAAGUAUUUAUCCUGAGUUUGCUGGCCACGUGGCAACAUCUACCCAGGCAGAGUUGAUGGUGUGACGACUCCCCAACUGUGCAGUAUGAAGGAAGUCAGUAAGUCAUUAGCUGACAGUAGUCUUGGCAAGUAUUAGUGCCCCUUGCUUAAGACAGCUUUUACCCUGCUUGCUGGAAAGUUGCCUCACCCCACUGAACAGGCCACAGGUAGACAUUAUGCUGCCACCUGUCAGAAGAUUGCCAUUAUGAAAACUGCAGUCUAGAACAACUUCAUGCAACUUCAGUGUGAAGACCAGUCUCUAGCCGUGUCUUCAACAAGCAGAGAGGGAGUCCCUGAAGAAUGAUGCUGUUUAUUUGGGAAUAAGCCAGAGACAUCAUCAUGUGGAAUACACCUGCCACUGUAGCUCUAUUCGAAGUCAGAGCAAAGGAGAGUUGAUCUGUGUUCACAUUUUUAUACCAAGUGAGCAGAACAACUGUAUGCUUUCUUACAGCCAGUGAUGGCACAUCUGGCAAAACUGGGAAAACUGGCAAGAGCGCGUAUGUCCAGGCCCUCGGGCACCUCAGUCAAGCUGAGGAGACAUUGAUCCAAAUAAUCCUCUGAGCAUGUACACAGUGACAAAUGGAUAAGCACUUGGAAGCAAAACAAUGAGGAGUCUGGGGGAUUCUGAAACAAGACGAUAAAUGCAUCUUUAACAUUUAAACACUUUUUAUAACAAGUUCCUUUUAACACUAAAUGUCUAAAAGGACAGGAAUUUCAGAGACUACUACUGUGGGCAGGACAAAAGUGUGUGAUAACAGAGAUGUCUGGAGAAGUGCUUUAACAUCUGAUUCUUAGGAACCCCCCUUGCCCACCAGACGGCAUCUGGGUAGAUCCACCCAAUCUAGUGACUUCUAGUCCAGUUCCAUCCCCUCUCCUCAAAGCUCUCCCAGGUCUAUGGUCAGUCUCUGGAGAUAAGAGUUCUGCCCUCUGUAGGGGCAGGUGUCCCAGGAACCCUUUAGAACUCACCCCAUCCUACUCCUCACCUCUAGGUAGCUUGUUCACUCUGGGAUUCAGUGAAUUCUUCCUGCUCACUUUUGGGCCUCACUGUAGGGCUAUCAAGUGUCCCCCAACCCUCUGUGUCUUUAGGGCUCUGUUUGUAGCCAGUAGCAUUAUUAGGAGGAAGUGGACAUCAUUCCUAGAAGAGAUCAUUCCUAGAAGGUUGAGCCCUAGAAGGAUUGUGGGGCCCCAGUUGUUUCCUCUUUUGUUCUUAUCAAGGCCAUGAAGUGAAGAGUUUCUGCUACAGCACAUACUCCAGGCACAGCAUGCAAGACCACGUCCCCACAGACAGCCCCAAAGCAACAGGUCAGUCCAACUGUAGAAUGAGACCUCCAGAAUUAUGAACCAUGAUAAACUUUUGUUUUUUUUAUAAAGAGAUUGACCUUAAGCAUUUACUACAGUAAUGGGAAGUAAUAUUCUUUCUAGAUCCCAGAAAUUUAUCCCUAUGUUCUAUUUGAGGUGGGAACAGUCACAUCCAAGAGAAGCCAACCACUGUGACUCUGGCUUCUGCCACACCUAACAGGGCCUUUCCAGCCUUUCCCAGUAGGCAUAUGACAAGGUAGGACAUCGUCCCCUGAAGACUGGGGAGCUCAUGUGGCAAUGAUUAUAAAGAUCUGGAAUACUCUCAUUUUGGUCAGAGAAGUAUGUUUUUUUGCAGCAAGACAAUGCAGUGGUUAAUGUAAAAGAUUCGUGUCUUGUUAAAGGGCCAAGAAUAAGAAACCAUGAGUGGUCGGCUGAGGAUAUGGGUAAUCUAUGCUAACCUUCCCAUCCAAGCUAAGACUAUCAUGGAAGAGUGGGCACCAAGGAUGUAGGAAGGUGAGGAGGAGAGCUGUGAAAUACAGGCUUCUGGACAUGACAGGCAGUGCUGGUCGAAUAUGAUUGGAUCAGGAACAGAAAUGAAGACAGUUGGACUACUUUUACAUAGUGUUGCUGCUAUUCUGCAAAGAAUGAAUGAGCUAUUACAUAUUAUCAAAGUUGCUAGAAUCAAACCAGAGCCAACAACUCAACAGAGGAAUGGAUACAAAAAAAUGUGGUACAUUUACACAAUGGAGUACUA